RNAcentral lists this ribosomal RNA (274 nucleotides) under uncultured bacterium. Its description in RNAcentral is "partial 16S ribosomal RNA". It matches the Rfam family "Bacterial small subunit ribosomal RNA", at positions 793 to 1055 of the family's 1533-position model. The record is from RNAcentral.
GUCCACGCCCUAAACGAUGUCAACUGGUUGUUGGACGGCUUGCUGUUCAGUAACGAAGCUAACGCGUGAAGUUGACCGCCUGGGGAGUACGGCCGCAAGGUUGAAACUCAAAGGAAAUUGACGGGGGACCCGGCCACAAGCGGUGGGAUGAUGUGGGUUUUAAUUUCGAUGCAACGCGAAAACCUUAACCUUACCCUUGACAUGUCAAGAAAUCUUGCAGAGAUGUGAGAGUGCUCGAAAGAGAACUUGAACACAGGUGCUGCAUGGCCGUCGU